ACGUUAAAACUUUCAACAACGGAUCUCUUGGUUCUGGCAUCGAUGAAGAACGCAGCGAAAUGCGAUAAGUAAUGUGAAUUGCAGAAUUCAGUGAAUCAUCGAAUCUUUGAACGCACAUUGCGCCCAUUAGUAUUCUAGUGGGCAUGCCUAUUCGAGCGUCAUUUCAACCCUUAAGCCCCUGUUGCUUAGCGUUGGGAAUCUGCGUUACGGCGCAGUUCCUUAAAGUGAUUUGGCGGAGCUACGUGCAUACUCUAGGCGUAGUAAAAUACCAUUCUCGCUUUUGUAGUAGGCCUGGCGGCUUGCCGUAAAACCCCUAUAUUUCUAGUGGUUGACCUCGGAUUAGGAAGGAAU
This 351-nucleotide ribosomal RNA is filed under the name Daldinia sp. PP29b. RNAcentral describes it as "eukaryotic LSU rRNA". The stretch from base 8 to 161 matches the Rfam family "5.8S ribosomal RNA". The record is from RNAcentral. Lineage: Eukaryota; Fungi; Ascomycota; Sordariomycetes; Xylariales; Hypoxylaceae.